This 704-nucleotide ribosomal RNA is filed under the name Vibrio sp. RNAcentral describes it as "bacterial SSU rRNA". It matches the Rfam family "Bacterial small subunit ribosomal RNA", at positions 330 to 1026 of the family's 1533-position model. The record is from RNAcentral. Lineage: Bacteria; Pseudomonadati; Pseudomonadota; Gammaproteobacteria; Vibrionales; Vibrionaceae.
UCCAGACUCCUACGGGAGGCAGCAGUGGGGAAUAUUGCACAAUGGGCGCAAGCCUGAUGCAGCCAUGCCGCGUGUAUGAAGAAGGCCUUCGGGUUGUAAAGUACUUUCAGUUGUGAGGAAGGGGGUGUUGUUAAUAGCAACAUCUCUUGACGUUAGCAACAGAAGAAGCACCGGCUAACUCCGUGCCAGCAGCCGCGGUAAUACGGAGGGUGCGAGCGUUAAUCGGAAUUACUGGGCGUAAAGCGCAUGCAGGUGGUUCAUUAAGUCAGAUGUGAAAGCCCGGGGCUCAACCUCGGAACUGCAUUUGAAACUGGUGAACUAGAGUACUGUAGAGGGGGGUAGAAUUUCAGGUGUAGCGGUGAAAUGCGUAGAGAUCUGAAGGAAUACCAGUGGCGAAGGCGGCCCCCUGGACAGAUACUGACACUCAGAUGCGAAAGCGUGGGGAGCAAACAGGAUUAGAUACCCUGGUAGUCCACGCCGUAAACGAUGUCUACUUGGAGGUUGUGGCCUUGAGCCGUGGCUUUCGGAGCUAACGCGUUAAGUAGACCGCCUGGGGAGUACGGUCGCAAGAUUAAAACUCAAAUGAAUUGACGGGGGCCCGCACAAGCGGUGGAGCAUGUGGUUUAAUUCGAUGCAACGCGAAGAACCUUACCUACUCUUGACAUCCAGAGAAUCCAGCGGAGACGCAGGAGUGCCUUCGGGAG